RNAcentral lists this ribosomal RNA (498 nucleotides) under uncultured bacterium. RNAcentral describes it as "partial 16S ribosomal RNA". It matches the Rfam family "Bacterial small subunit ribosomal RNA", at positions 28 to 507 of the family's 1533-position model. The record is from RNAcentral.
GACGAACGCUGGCGGCGUGCCUAAUACAUGCAAGCCGAACGAGAGCGACCGGUGCUUGCACUGGUCAAUCUAGUGGCGAACGGGUGAGUAACACGUGGGUAACCUGCCCAUCAGAGGGGGAUAACAUUCGGAAACGGAUGCUAAAACCGCAUAGGUCUUCGAACCGCAUGGUUUGAAGAGGAAAAGAGGCGCAAGCUUCUGCUGAUGGAUGGACCCGCGGUGCAUUAGCUAGUUGGUGAGGUAACGGCUCACCAAGGCCGGGAUGCAUAGCCGACCUGAGAGGGUGAUCGGCCACAUUGGGAUUGGGGCACGGCCCAAACUCCUACGGGAGGCAGCAGUAGGGAAUCUUCCGCAAUGGACGCAAGUCUGACGGAGCAACGCCGCGUGAGUGAAGAAGGUUUUCGGAUCGUAAAACUCUGUUGUUAGAGAAGAAUAAGUGCUAGAGUAACUGUUAGCGCCUUGACGGUAUCUAACCAGAAAGGCACGGCUAACUACGUG